RNAcentral lists this ribosomal RNA (460 nucleotides) under uncultured bacterium. Its description in RNAcentral is "partial 16S ribosomal RNA". It matches the Rfam family "Bacterial small subunit ribosomal RNA", at positions 338 to 795 of the family's 1533-position model. The record is from RNAcentral.
CCUACGGGAGGCUGCAGUGAGGAAUAUUGGUCAAUGGGCGGAAGCCUGAACCAGCCAAGUCGCGUGAGGGACUAAGGCCCUACGGGUCGUAAACCUCUUUUGCCGGGGAUCAGUGCCCAGCUCGCGAGCUGGGAGGGAGCGUACCCGGAGAAAAAGCAUCGGCUAACUCCGUGCCAGCAGCCGCGGUCAUACGGAGGAUGCGAGCGUUAUACGGAUUUAGUGGGUUAACAUGGUGCGUAGGGUGGCCUUCAGGCCGGCGGGAAAGUUGCGGGGCUCAACCCCGCCGGGCCGGCGGAACCGGGGGCCUUGAGUACCGGAGAAGUACGCGGAAUGCGUGGUGUAGCGGUGAAAUGCAUAGAUAUCACGCAGAACCCCGAGUGCGAAGGCAGCGUACCGGCCGGUCACUGACGCUGAGGCACGAAAGCGCGGGUAUCGAACAGGAUUAGAUACCCGGGUAGUC